Echinops telfairi (small Madagascar hedgehog) is the source of this 107-nucleotide small nuclear RNA. Lineage: Eukaryota; Metazoa; Chordata; Mammalia; Afrosoricida; Tenrecidae. The record is from RefSeq and is a predicted model, not a curated record.
GUGCUUGCUUCGGCGGUACAUAUACUAAAAUUGGAAAGAUACAGAGACGAUUAGCAUGGCCCCGGUGCAAGAAGGACACACAAAUUUGUGAAACGUUCCAUGUUUUU